GGCGGUGAAGCUAACGUUAUUGAUGGAGAUAAGAAUGUUGAGGUGGCAGUUAAUAAAGUUUCAAAUAACACGGAUUCCUUAAGAGUUAUUAUUGAAUCUUCUUUUGGUAGAAUUUCAAAUAUUGCCAAAUCUGGAGGAAAUUGUGAAGCAGAUUUGGGAAUUGAUGAUGUGGCAACCAUACCCAACACCCAUGAUAAUUCAGUUAUCAUUUUGGAGGAGAUCCAUAACGCUAGAAUUGAUCAACUAGGCGCAAUUCAAAUACUUUAAGAGGAGCGGGUCCUGGAGUGGGUUCCAGCCCAACUUUGGUAUGUCCUUCUCCCAGAGGAGUAGCGACCCCCAUAGAAGGAGGUCGGCUGGAAGUUGUCAUUCCUGUUACAGAUAUGACGCGUCUUUCUCAAGGUGCUAUAGUAGAUUCGUCUCAUUUGAUGCUAGUUGUUCAGGAUGACAGUCGCAGAGUGAUUGUACAACAUCACCUAUCAAGCUCCUGUGAGGAAGACCAAAGAUCCAAUGAGAAAUUUAUUCCUGUCAAAGGAAAAUUUCAGGCUGAAUCAUCAGCUGCUGCUCAGAAGAGAUUUCGUAGGCAAGAGAUUUCUAACGUUGAGAAUAUGUUAAACCAAGUUUUGGGGUUGGGAUUUACAACUCGGCGCUCCACAUGGAUUGGAAGGUAAGGGCUGUUGGCAAUGUCCGUGCUCACUCGGCUUUGCAAGUUCUAAUUCGUGACCACCAUCCUACUUUUAUAUGUCAGAACUCAAUUCCUCACUUUGUUAGUGGAGGAAAAUGGGAUGAAAUUUCUGGUUUCUGUGGUCCACGCAAAGUGCUUCAGGAACGACAGGCAUCAACUAUGGUUUGAUUUAUGCUCAGUUUCACGUAUGCAACUCCCUUCGAUUAUUAUUGGUGAUUUUAAUGCUUACUUGUUUUCUCAUGAAAAACGAGGCCCUGGUCAUUUCAAUCAAGGAUCUGCAGAGGAUUUUGCAACUUUUGUUGAUUCAGCUAGUCUUCUCCCUUCCUAGUCUACUGGCCUUAAAUUCACAUGGUCUAACAAUAAGGUCAGUGGUAGUGUUUGUGUGAUACUUGAUUGUAGCUUCUGCAAUGAGGAAUGGUUGCAGUAUUUCCCUCCCCUAUUGUGGUUGAUUGUAAUGAGGUGCCUAGGCCUUCUAAUGUUCCAUUUAGAAUGUGAAGGUUUUGGGCCGAUCAUGCUGAUUUCAAGAAGAUAGUCAAGGAAAUAUGGGAGGCACCAGUCAGAGGAACUCCCAUGUUUAUUGUUGCUCAAAAAUAAAAAAUAAAAUUAAAAGGUCCUUUGAAGUCAUGGGCUAAAUCAAUUUUCCCGCACAUUGAUUUGGAUGUUGAGACUUUAAAGGCAGCCCUAGAGUCGGUUCAAAUGAGCAUUGAGAAGAAUGGGCUAGAUGAUUUAUCUUUUAGACAGGAACCUGCAGCGAGAGCAAAAUUAGACAAAACAGUUUUGCUUCAAGGGAAAAUGUGGGUUGAAAAGGCAAGAAUUUGAUGGCUUAAAGAGGGUGAUCGUUGCUCUAAGCUCUUUCACAUCUCAUCCAAGAUCAAAAGGGGCAGAAAUAUAAUUCGAAGGCCUAAGGGGGAGGAUGGUAGCAUACUCACUGACUGUGACGCUAUUAGCCAACGCAUGGUUAGUCAUUUUCAGAUGUUCCAUAAGCGGGGGGAUGCUGCUAGAAAUGUCAAUCUUUUAUCUAUGAUUCCCAAGGUUUCAAAUGAUCAAGACAAUGAGAUCCUCACUGCUCUUCCAUCUCCUGAAGAAAUUAGAGCAGCAGUGUUUAAUCUUGAUCCUUCCAGUGCACUUGGUCCAGAUGGUUUCCCAGGUACUUUCAAUCAUUCCUAUUGUGAUAUUGUUGGCCCAAGUAUAUGUCGUGCUUUGGUAAAUUUUUUCGAGGAAGGAGUAAUUACAAAAGGGGUUAAUAAUAA
This is a long non-coding RNA of Macadamia integrifolia, 1932 nucleotides long. RefSeq lists it as uncharacterized. NCBI's taxonomy places the organism in Eukaryota, Viridiplantae, Streptophyta, Magnoliopsida, Proteales, Proteaceae. The record is from RefSeq and is a predicted model, not a curated record. The transcript has 2 exons.